UUACUUCUUUGAAUUUAUUUGUUACUGAAAAAUUUUUCUCUAUUUUAAUUUAAUCGGUGAUUAUUUUUCAGAAUAUCGCAUUAUUCACGUAUCAUAUGUAAUAAUACUCGUUUUCAGAAAGGACGUUGGCCAGAGUCAGACUACACCCAUUUGCUGGUAUGGGUCAACUUGUUGCUAAGCGGCUCCAGCUUGGAGGCCAACCGUUAUGGCUCAGGCAAUUUCUCACAGCUGAAAUCUCACCACACACAUGCUUACGAUAUUUCAAAUGGUAAUUUUUUACAAAUUCACUCACACACAACACUCGCUAAGAAAAUAUCCGCCUAUUCAAAUAUCAAAUGUUAAAUAUCAAUAUAUAAAUAUAUUAUAUAAACUCACAUUAACAUUUAAAAA
Molecule: long non-coding RNA, 390 nt
Organism: Cotesia glomerata
Lineage: Eukaryota; Metazoa; Arthropoda; Insecta; Hymenoptera; Braconidae
Exons: 2
Source: RefSeq, a predicted model, not a curated record